GCCCCUGUAGCUCAGAGGAUAGAGUGACGGAUUCCUAAUCCGUUGGUCGCAGGUUCGAGUCCUGCCAGGGGCA
Molecule: transfer RNA, 73 nt
Filed under: Gemmatimonadota bacterium
Lineage: Bacteria; Pseudomonadati; Gemmatimonadota
Description: tRNA-Arg
Rfam family: tRNA
About the family: Transfer RNA (tRNA) molecules are approximately 80 nucleotides in length.
Source: RNAcentral